Molecule: ribosomal RNA, 443 nt
Filed under: Catharsius philus
Lineage: Eukaryota; Metazoa; Arthropoda; Insecta; Coleoptera; Scarabaeidae
Description: partial 16S ribosomal RNA
Source: RNAcentral
CAUCGCCUUUUGAGUAUAAUUGAAGGUCUGGCCUGCCCUAUGAGGAGUUAAAUGGCUGCGAUAAUUUGAUCGUGCAAAGGUAGCAUAAUCAUUAGUUUUUUAAUUGGGAACUGGAAUGAAAGGUCGGAUGAGAAAAAGACUGUCUCAAUUUAAAUUUAAUUAGAAUUUUAUUUUUAAGUAAGAAAGCUUAAAUGAUUUAAAAAGACGAGAAGACCCUAUAGAAUUUUAUACACUAAUUUUUAUUUGAAAGUUAAAGUAUUUUAGAUUUGAAUAUAAGUUAUUGUAUUUGGUUGGGGCGAUUGGAAAAUUAAAUAAACUUUUUUUUAAUUUUUACAUUGAUAUAUGAAUAAUUGAUCCAUAGUUUAUGAUUAUAAGAUUAAAUUACCUUAGGGAUAACAGCGUAAUUUUUUUUAGAGUACUAAUCGAAAAAAAAGUUUGCGACC